GAUGAACGCUGGGGGCGUGCCUAAUACAUGCAAGUCGAGCGAACGGACGAGAAGCUUGCUUUUCUGAUGUUAGCGGCGGACGGGUGAGUAACACGUGGAUAACCUACCUAUAAGACUGGGAUAACUUCGGGAAACCGGAGCUAAUACCGGAUAAUAUUUUGAACCGCAUGGUUCAAAAGUGAAAGACGGUCUUGCUGUCACUUAUAGAUGGAUCCGCGCUGCAUUAGCUAGUUGGUAAGGUAACGGCUUACCAAGGCAACGAUGCAUAGCCGACCUGAGAGGGUGAUCGGCCACACUGGAACUGAGACACGGUCCAGACUCCUACGGGAGGCAGCAGUAGGGAAUCUUCCGCAAUGGGCGAAAGCCUGACGGAGCAACGCCGCGUGAGUGAUGAAGGUCUUCGGAUCGUAAAACUCUGUUAUUAGGGAAGAACAUAUGUGUAAGUAACUGUGCACAUCUUGACGGUACCUAAUCAGAAAGCCACGGCUAACUACGUG
Molecule: ribosomal RNA, 497 nt
Filed under: uncultured bacterium
Lineage: Bacteria
Description: partial 16S ribosomal RNA
Rfam family: Bacterial small subunit ribosomal RNA
Source: RNAcentral